RNAcentral lists this transfer RNA (63 nucleotides) under Operophtera brumata (winter moth). It matches the Rfam family "tRNA". Rfam says of the family: Transfer RNA (tRNA) molecules are approximately 80 nucleotides in length. Their secondary structure includes four short double-helical elements and three loops (D, anti-codon, and T loops). Lineage: Eukaryota; Metazoa; Arthropoda; Insecta; Lepidoptera; Geometridae. The record is from Rfam by way of RNAcentral.
ACACCAAUGGCUAAGUUGGUAAAAGCACUGCAAUAUGCGUGGGUUCGAGUCCCGCUCGGUGCG